UUCUUGGUCCAUUUAGAGGAAGUAAAAGUCGUAACAAGGUCUCCGUUGGUGAACCAGCGGAGGGAUCAUUACUGAGUUUACGCUCUACAACCCUUUGUGAACAUACCUAUAACUGUUGCUUCGGCGGGUAGGGUCUCCGUGACCCUCCCGGCCUCCCGCCCCCGGGCGGGUCGGCGCCCGCCGGAGGAUAACCAAACUCUGAUUUAACGACGUUUCUUCUGAGUGGUACAAGCAAAUAAUCAAAACUUUUAACAACGGAUCUCUUGGUUCUGGCAUCGAUGAAGAACGCAGCGAAAUGCGAUAAGUAAUGUGAAUUGCAGAAUUCAGUGAAUCAUCGAAUCUUUGAACGCACAUUGCGCCCGCCAGCAUUCUGGCGGGCAUGCCUGUUCGAGCGUCAUUUCAACCCUCAAGCUCUGCUUGGUGUUGGGGCCCUACAGCUGAUGUAGGCCCUCAAAGGUAGUGGCGGACCCUCCCGGAGCCUCCUUUGCGUAGUAACUUUACGUCUCGCACUGGGAUCCGGAGGGACUCUUGCCGUAAAACCCCCCAAUUUUCCAAAGGUUGACCUCGGAUCMGGUAGGAAUACCCGCUGAACUUAAGCAUAUCAAUAAGGCGGAGGAA
Molecule: ribosomal RNA, 618 nt
Filed under: Colletotrichum siamense
Lineage: Eukaryota; Fungi; Ascomycota; Sordariomycetes; Glomerellales; Glomerellaceae
Description: eukaryotic LSU rRNA
Source: RNAcentral